RNAcentral lists this small RNA (91 nucleotides) under Pediococcus stilesii. RNAcentral describes it as "RNA anti-toxin A". It matches the Rfam family "RNA anti-toxin A". The record is from Rfam by way of RNAcentral. Lineage: Bacteria; Bacillati; Bacillota; Bacilli; Lactobacillales; Lactobacillaceae.
UAAUGAGGGCAUAGAAAAGGAGUUAUGAGCUGGUACUCAUAACUCCUGUGUAGAACCGUUAAAGACGGUGGCUGCGUUUUAGAACUUAAAA